GGAUGCGUUGGGCAGUGUAGUGAGCCCGGCAGGCUGUAAUCCUGUAGCCACAUGGUUUGUAGGUGCAAUUCCUACCGCAUCCACCA
RNAcentral lists this transfer RNA (86 nucleotides) under Candidatus Thiodiazotropha sp. (ex Lucinoma annulata). RNAcentral's name for it is "tRNA-Tyr". It matches the Rfam family "tRNA". From Rfam's summary of the family: Transfer RNA (tRNA) molecules are approximately 80 nucleotides in length. The record is from RNAcentral. RNAcentral also lists the same sequence under 1 other name. Lineage: Bacteria; Pseudomonadati; Pseudomonadota; Gammaproteobacteria; Chromatiales; Sedimenticolaceae.